This 1855-nucleotide long non-coding RNA is filed under the name Daphnia pulex (common water flea). Its description in RNAcentral is "uncharacterized LOC124194110". Lineage: Eukaryota; Metazoa; Arthropoda; Branchiopoda; Diplostraca; Daphniidae. The record is from RNAcentral.
UCGCCGCCGUUAGAUUUUGGCUUUAACCACCCACCCACCCCACAGAUUCGAAUGCGCGCGCUUUCAACACACAGACUGACCUUAGCAACACCCAAUAGGGUGGUGGGCGGGUAGUUUUAUCGGUCUCGCGUUGGCCCUGACCUCUGGUUGAGAAAAUGCGCACCAGAGUUCUUCUUCUUCUUGUUCAAGAAGAAGAAGAAGAAGAAGCAAAAGAAAGAAGAAAUAGCCUUCGGCGUGGCUGGCCAUUUGAUGUGGGGGAGUGGCAGGUCCACUUUGUUGAGAAGGGUGGAUUUAACUGAACAAAGAUGGAGGAGGAGGAGGAGGAGGAGGGUUGGCUCUUUUGGGCCUAGACCAAAUAAAUGGGAAACGAAAACAAGAAAGAGAAAAAAAAAGUUUUGAAGAAUGGAAUGGUCAAAGAGGAAAUGGUGGACAACAAACCACCACCACCACGUUUCUUUUUACAACCAGCGAUAAAAAUGUCUCCACACACAGUCAACUUUUUUCCUUCGAGUAGGGAAGAAAAAAUAUAUAUUUAAAAAAGAAAUCUCUCUCCCCCUCUCCUGGAAAAAAAGAAAGAAAUUCGAGUCCCUUUCACGCUAACCCUCCCCACCUGACCCAAAGCGCAUAACCAAAAUGGGAGAAAUUGGAGAGGGGGGGGGGGGGGGGAGUCCAAGAUGGCGCGGAAAUUUUUUCGCGGUACAAGAAAGAAGAAGAAGAAGCCUUGUUGAGGAGUAUUUAUAACACUUCCAGCAAGCACCCUUUUCUUCUUCUUCUUCUUCUACACACACGGGCGUAUUAGUAACACAACACACCUGGCGCGGUGAUCAGGUUGCCUUUGAGCAGCGCACACGUCGUCGUCCAUCCUCGUUGGCUAAUUUGAUGGAUUUGACACGGCGGUAAAACGAGGGCCUAAUGAAACCUCCUACUCUCUUUCAACCGCCACCUACUACCGUUUGAGAACCAAGUCCAUCGAUCAAUUCUUCAACUUGAUUGACCAAUCGCUCUGUUAUUAUUACAUUAUUCAAGAAAAAUGAAACCGGCUGGUGGCUAUUAUUUGCUUUAUCUCACCCGACCGACUGACAAGAGAGACCGACCAACCGGAUAUUUAUUUAACCAUUUUUUCUCUCUUUCUUAUGUCGAGUGUGUGUGUGUGUGUCGGGCGUCUCUGUGUUUGGCACGCUCGUCGGGAGAAAAAGUGACAACAAGAACAAACAAGACAAAAAGGAAUGCCAGAUUUUUAUAUUUGUAUUUUUAUUCCUCUUUUCUUUUUUUCUUGUCUUGGAAAAUCAUGGAAAUACAAAACAAAAAUACGGAAAAUGGUUUUUUUCCCUUUUUCUUUUUUCUAUGUAUGUGUUUUUCUCGGUCUGUCCGGCAGCUGGUUGCCGUUGGCGCGGUCAUCAAAUACACACACGCACAGGCCAGCAGAGAGAAACACACCAAACAGAUUCUCUGAUAAUGUUAUCAGCAGCCAGAGCCCCUGCACUGCCGUAUAUACACACAAGGCAACAAACAUGGGGUUCUCCUAUCUCUUUUAGACUUUUCGAGCUGUGUAUAUAAGUUCGUUUCAGGUAAGGCCACAGCAGAGAUUAUCAAUGUCAGGUGAUGGAUCUUUUUUCUCUUCUUUUUUUGUUUCUACCACUGUAUAAACAUUGCGUUUUUAUUUUUAUGUGGAGAGAAAAGAGAAAAUUCGUAGACACACCUAGUUGGCCAUUCCACACCUAGAUGGCCAUAGCGCUCGGCGCCCAAAUUGAUAAUAAAUUCCGGUUAUAAAUUGUUUUUUUUUUUUGUUUUGUUUUCAAAAUAGCAUUGUUAUUAGUCGAAUAAUAUAUUAUGCAAAUACAAAUGGUGAGAAUCA